GUCUUGAUUCGGAAGGGUGAAAUCAGAGUAUAUAUAUAUACGUAUAUAUAUACUCUGAUUUCACCCUUCCGAAUCAAGAC
Molecule: non-coding RNA, 80 nt
Organism: Pelobates cultripes (western spadefoot toad)
Lineage: Eukaryota; Metazoa; Chordata; Amphibia; Anura; Pelobatidae
Source: the annotation of a GenBank genome assembly